Small nuclear RNA from Choloepus didactylus (southern two-toed sloth), 109 nucleotides. NCBI's taxonomy places the organism in Eukaryota, Metazoa, Chordata, Mammalia, Pilosa, Megalonychidae. The record is from RefSeq and is a predicted model, not a curated record.
GCUUGCUUCAGUGACACAUAUACUAAAAUUGGAAUGAUACAGAAAAGAUUAGCACAGUACCUGCACAAGCAAGGAUGACAUGCAAAUUCGUGAAGUGUUCCAUAAAAAA